Molecule: ribosomal RNA, 242 nt
Filed under: Staphylococcus aureus
Lineage: Bacteria; Bacillati; Bacillota; Bacilli; Caryophanales; Staphylococcaceae
Description: partial 16S ribosomal RNA
Rfam family: Bacterial small subunit ribosomal RNA
Source: RNAcentral
UUUAUGGAGAGUUUGAUCCUGGCUCAGGAUGAACGCUGGCGGCGUGCCUAAUACAUGCAAGUCGAGCGAACGGAUGAGAAGCUUGCUUCUCUGAUGUUAGCGGCGGACGGGUGAGUAACACGUGGAUAACCUACCUAUAAGACUGGGAUAACUUCGGGAAACCGGAGCUAAUACCGGAUAAUAUUUUGAACCGCAUGGUUCAAAAGUGAAAGACGGUCUUGCUGUCACUUAUAGAUGGAUCC